AUUGAACGCUGGCGGCAUGCCUUACACAUGCAAGUCGAACGGCAGCACGGGGGGCAACCCUGGUGGCGAGUGGCGAACGGGUGAGUAACAUAUCGGAACGUGCCCUGGAGUGGGGGAUAACUAGUCGAAAGACUAGCUAAUACCGCAUACGAUCUACGGAUGAAAGUGGGGGAGUCGCAAGACCUCAUGCUCGUGGAGCGGCCGAUAUCUGAUUAGCUAGUUGGGGGGGUAAAGGACCUACCAAGGCAUCGAUCAGUAGCUGGUCUGAGAGGACGACCAGCCACACUGGGA
Molecule: ribosomal RNA, 291 nt
Filed under: uncultured bacterium
Lineage: Bacteria
Description: partial 16S ribosomal RNA
Rfam family: Bacterial small subunit ribosomal RNA
Source: RNAcentral